RNAcentral lists this ribosomal RNA (660 nucleotides) under Coniochaetales sp. A890. RNAcentral describes it as "LSU rRNA". It matches the Rfam family "Eukaryotic large subunit ribosomal RNA", at positions 784 to 1442 of the family's 3401-position model. The record is from RNAcentral. Lineage: Eukaryota; Fungi; Ascomycota; Sordariomycetes; Coniochaetales.
AUGGAUUUGAGUAAGAGCGUAUAGCCUCGGACCCGAAAGAUGGUGAACUAUGCCUGAAUAGGGUGAAGCCAGAGGAAACUCUGGUGGAGGCUCGCAGCGGUUCUGACGUGCAAAUCGAUCGUCAAAUUUGGGCAUGGGGGCGAAAGACUAAUCGAACCAUCUAGUAGCUGGUUACCGCCGAAGUUUCCCUCAGGAUAGCAGUGUUGUUCUUCAGUUUUAUGAGGUAAAGCGAAUGAUUAGGGACUCGGGGGCGCUAUUUAGCCUUCAUCCAUUCUCAAACUUUAAAUAUGUAAGAAGCCCUUGUUACUUAAUUGAACGUGGGCAUUCGAAUGUACCAACACUAGUGGGCCAUUUUUGGUAAGCAGAACUGGCGAUGCGGGAUGAACCGAACGCGGGGUUAAGGUGCCAGAGUGGACGCUCAUCAGACACCACAAAAGGCGUUAGUACAUCUUGACAGCAGGACGGUGGCCAUGGAAGUCGGAAUCCGCUAAGGACUGUGUAACAACUCACCUGCCGAAUGUACUAGCCCUGAAAAUGGAUGGCGCUCAAGCGUCCCACCCAUACCCCGCCCUUAGGGUAGAAACGAUGCCCUAAGGAGUAGGCGGCCGUGGGGGUCAGUGACGAAGCCUAGGGCGUGAGCCCGGGUCGAACGGCCCCUAG